CCUUUACGGCUCCCGUUUCUUCUCUCGCUCGCUCAUCUCCUCUCCAACGGGUGUUCCCCGAGCACGUUCUCACCCAGAGCCACUUUCCCGGCACUGCAGAUGCUAAAGAUGGGCUAGGAGUGCUCCACGAUCUCCGGACACUCGCAGUUCACAGAGAAGACAGACUCACAGACGGUCCCGGCAAGGUGGCACGGGGUGCAGGCACUGUGCAGGUUCAGCAGGGACCGAAGUAAAGUCCUUGUCCUCACAAGCUGUCCGUGGUCGGCGGGGACAGAAAACAAAUGAAGAUGAAAUAAGUCUACAUUCGUAGUUCUAUGUGAGCAGAACCAGCGAAUCCGUGCACGUUGUGAUGUCAUCCUGAUACCAUCCUCUGGAGGGCCUGUCCCUCCCUCUUGUCAUCUCACAGCCACUGCCUGCAGCCUGACCAUCACCCUGUCUUCACUGGCCUGCGCUGACCUGACAUCCAUCCCUGAGCCCCGGUCCGUUCUCCACGUACCAGCCGGGGUGGGGGAGGGGCAUGCUUUCCAUGGCCCUGACCACUUGCUGGAGGCCCCGUGCUGGCUUGCUCUUUCUUGGCAAAGUCCUAAUCCUCGCCACAGCCCGCAACAGCCUGUGUCAUCUGCCCAAGGCCGUUAGGCCUGGAGUGUUGAUAUUUUGUGUGCAUGUGAUCACGAUGACCAGAUUUCUGUGAGGCGGUCAUGAAGAAGACAGGAACCGGGGACAGUGAUGGGAAGUGUAGGGAAGCGGAUGUCAGGGGAUUAAGAGGGAGACCUUUCUGUUUGAGCUCUCCGAUAAUGGGCAGCCUGCCUGGAGGAGCACUUAGCUCCCCAUCACCGUGUGUGUGCAGCACAGAGGCUGGGGGACUCCUUGGCAGGGAAGGUGUUGAGGAAAUCUGAGCGUUGGUUGGAAAGAUGAUUUAGCAGACAUCCGAGGUUUAUCUUAUCCAUCUUUUAAAUGUUUCAUCCUAAAGUUGCUUUCAGAUGCUCUUCAGGUAGAACACAGUCUGUCUUUCCAAAGAGGAGUUUCAAGAGCUAUCUAUCUUCCUAGGUGGCUAGCUGUAACCCAUCUGUCCGCUCAUCCAUGAUCUAUCCAUCCACCCACCCACCUGCUAACCCACAAACCCAGCCACCAACCCAUCCCUUCAUAUGUAUGUAUAUCCCACCCACCCAUCCGUCCAUCCACUCAUCCGUACAUGUGUCCUUCCAUCCACCUACCCUCCCAUCCAUCCACCCACCCACCCAUUCACCCUC
Long non-coding RNA from Herpailurus yagouaroundi (jaguarundi), 1250 nucleotides. RefSeq lists it as uncharacterized. The transcript has 3 exons. Lineage: Eukaryota; Metazoa; Chordata; Mammalia; Carnivora; Felidae. The record is from RefSeq and is a predicted model, not a curated record.